UACGUAGGGCGCAAGCGUUGUCCGGAAUUAUUGGGCGUAAAGAGCUCGUAGGCGGUUUGUCGCGUCUGUCGUGAAAGCCCACGGCUUAACCGUGGGUCUGCGGUGGAUACGGGCAGACUAGAGGCAGGUAGGGGAGAAUGGAAUUCCUGGUGUAGCGGUGAAAUGCGCAGAUAUCAGGAGGAACACCGGUGGCGAAGGCGGAUCUCUGGGCCUUACCUGACGCUCAGGUGCGAAAGCUAGGGGAGCAAACAGG
This 253-nucleotide ribosomal RNA is filed under the name uncultured bacterium. RNAcentral's name for it is "partial 16S ribosomal RNA". It matches the Rfam family "Bacterial small subunit ribosomal RNA", at positions 524 to 776 of the family's 1533-position model. The record is from RNAcentral.